This 874-nucleotide ribosomal RNA is filed under the name uncultured Actinomycetes bacterium. Its description in RNAcentral is "bacterial SSU rRNA". It matches the Rfam family "Bacterial small subunit ribosomal RNA", at positions 1 to 877 of the family's 1533-position model. The record is from RNAcentral. Lineage: Bacteria; Bacillati; Actinomycetota; Actinomycetes.
GGCCGCGGGAUUAGAGUUUGAUCCUGGCUCAGGACGAACGCUGGCGGCGUGCUUAACACAUGCAAGUCGAGCGGACUCCAACCACUCGCAAGAGUGGGGAAGGGUUAGCGGCGAACGGGUGAGUAACACGUGAGGAACCUGCCUCGGAGACCGGGAUAACCCCCCGAAAGGGGAGCUAAUACCGGAUGUCCUCAGCGGAUCGCAUGGUCUGCUGAGGAAAUGGAUUCCGCUCCGAGAGGGCCUCGCGGCCUAUCAGCUUGUUGGUGAGGUAACGGCUCACCAAGGCGUCGACGGGUAGCUGGUCUGAGAGGACGAUCAGCCACACUGGGACUGAGACACGGCCCAGACUCCUACGGGAGGCAGCAGUGGGGAAUCUUGCGCAAUGGGCGAAAGCCUGACGCAGCAACGCCGCGUGGGGGAUGAAGGCUCUCGGGUUGUAAACCCCUUUCAGCAGGGACGAUUAUGACGGUACCUGCAGAAGAAGGACCGGCCAACUACGUGCCAGCAGCCGCGGUAAUACGUAGGGUCCAAGCGUUGUCCGGAUUUAUUGGGCGUAAAGAGCUCGUAGGCGGUUCGGUAAGUCGGGUGUGAAAACCCCAGGCUCAACCUGGGGACGCCACUCGAUACUGCUGUGACUUGAGUUCGGUAGGGGAGCACGGAAUUCCUGGUGUAGCGGUGAAAUGCGCAGAUAUCAGGAGGAACACCGGUGGCGAAGGCGGUGCUCUGGGCCGAAACUGACGCUGAGGAGCGAAAGCGUGGGUAGCAAACAGGAUUAGAUACCCUGGUAGUCCGCGCCGUAAACGUUGGGCACUAGGUGUGGGACCCUAUCGACGGGAUCCGUGCCGUAGCUAACGCAUUAAGUGCCCCGCCUGGG